This is a long non-coding RNA of Lampris incognitus (smalleye Pacific opah), 307 nucleotides long. RefSeq lists it as uncharacterized. The record is from RefSeq and is a predicted model, not a curated record. The transcript has 4 exons. NCBI's taxonomy places the organism in Eukaryota, Metazoa, Chordata, Actinopteri, Lampriformes, Lampridae.
GGGACGGCGCGGGCUCUGAGCGCCAGAAAAAGCGGGGCAAAGACCAGACGUAUGCCGUCCCCAUAGAUAAGUAUUCGUGGGAGGAGAUCGUGCCGAUACGUCGCCUAGCGAGUGUCCUUAACGUCCCCCCUCGAGAAAUAUCUCGGCAACUCCGGCCCGCCAGCGCCUCCGCCCUUGUGAUCUGGUGGUGUGGAAAAGGAGUCACGGUUAACGCAGGAAUCCUUGCCCUGCCCCACCUGCUUCACGAGGAUCCUAGAGGAGUCUACGUGAUUGAUGAAUUGUACUUGGCCAAUUACCCUGUUUUCCG